GGGCUUUCCUGCGUGGCUGUGGGCGUGCAGGGAGCUGUGCUGCGUCCGGAGAGGCAGGUGCUGGCCCCGCUGCUCCAAUGCAGAGCAUUCAGCUGCCUCGGAGCGGGUGGGAACCUGCGAGCAGCGCUUGUGGUCACUCUGAUCGUUGUCUCCCGCCCGGGGCGAGGGCUGUGGCAUCCAGGCGUUCUCCUGCUCACCCGUGUUUCCCACAGCCUGGAGGGCUCUGGGUAUGAGCCAUGUGGAAUUUAUUUGUUGUUUGUUGUUUUUUUUUUUUUCCCCGGAAGAUGUCAAAGGACUCCUUGGAGUUGCUGAUUGUUCUCUUCCCUGGAGCAGUUCAACUGGUAGAAAUCUAGCGAGGGCAUUGGCAGCUUUUUCUUCAGCAUCAUCCAGUCCUGCUGAGAGGCACUCGACACAGAGCGGUGGUAAAAUGCUGGCAGAGGUAAAGCCCUGCUUGUUCUAGCUCUCCUAUCGCUCUUACCACCAGCCAGAGGGAAGCUGUAAGCCACAGAGGCCGGGGUUAGAGGAGUCAAAGAGAUUGCGAAUCCUCGGAGGUGCGUGUCUGCAUUGCCGCUGGCUGGGUUUGCAGCGGUGGGGGAUUGAGCUGGUCUCUGACAAGGCAGCGAAUCCAGAGCUGCUGUGCUGGGGAAUGCUCUGAAACGCUCUCAGGCAGGCGCUGCAGUCAGGCUUGUUGAAUUGCUGCAGCUCAUCUCUGCGCCAGGCGGUGUUUCUCUUACGGCUGGUUGCGGUGUUAAACGCUACGGCAGUAAAGAGGCUUUGUUGUGGUCUCUGCAACGUUGCUUUCGCCUUGGCUAGCAGCAGUCUUUUUGUUGGAAUAAAUACUUUCCCUGGAGUUGGCUGUGGGGGCAUGUGUGGGCACGUGUGUGUGCCGCUGCUUUUGGGUAUACAUUGGACACAGCUGUGAACAGGCAAUUCUGGUAGGUUCAGCACUUGCCCAAACUUGUUGCUCGCGAGCGCCAGAAUGAUGUGCUCUUCCUCACUGUUGGGAAUGCUGGCCGCUGUCAUGAGCUUUUGAAAAUGCUUGAAUGAAAUUAAUAGAUGCUUUCCAGCCACAUGCAGAAAUUGUUGCUAGCAUCUGGCCCAGUGCUGUAUUUGGUCUCAGGAAGUGGUCAACUUUUG
RNAcentral lists this long non-coding RNA (1137 nucleotides) under Gallus gallus (chicken). Its description in RNAcentral is "lncRNA (ENSGALG00010013913.1)". The record is from RNAcentral. Lineage: Eukaryota; Metazoa; Chordata; Aves; Galliformes; Phasianidae.